This 213-nucleotide unclassified non-coding RNA is filed under the name Hevea brasiliensis (rubber tree). Lineage: Eukaryota; Viridiplantae; Streptophyta; Magnoliopsida; Malpighiales; Euphorbiaceae. The record is from RNAcentral.
CACAAAGCAGCAGUUGUAGAACUUUUCUAAUAAUAGAAAGAAAUAACACUAUUAUAUAUAAUAUUGGUCUUUCAUUUAACAUGAAUAUAGAAGAACUUUUCUUUACAGACACUUUUUCCCUUCAAAUUCUAACUCAUCAUCAUACCCAGAAAACAAAAAUAUUAAAAGAAACAAAGCAUUUCCUGUUCCUGUGAAAGAAAACCCAUCAAAAUC